Molecule: transfer-messenger RNA, 399 nt
Filed under: Gemmataceae
Lineage: Bacteria; Pseudomonadati; Planctomycetota; Planctomycetia; Gemmatales
Also listed under: 1 other name
Description: JAIEPT01 sp019748295 Standard tmRNA
Rfam family: transfer-messenger RNA
About the family: Bacterial tmRNA, also known as 10Sa RNA or SsrA, is named for its dual tRNA and mRNA-like properties.
Source: RNAcentral
GGGGGCGAUCCGGUUUCGAUCGGGCAACCAGAGGCGUUCGGCGGCGUGCCGUGGUUGAUCGGUUGGCCACGUAAAUAGCCGAUCACAACCAAACUGCUGAACCGCAGUUUUCAAUGGCUGCCUAACCAAGGCAACCCUGAUUCGGCUUCUUUAGCCUGAGAAGCUGUCGAUUCAGUCGCUAAAUCAGGAUCGCGGAAGCUCGGGUCCGUCGCGAGGCGGGCCGACGUCGGAGGCGGCUUCUGUCAGACUUCACUGCCGAUUAGCCUCGAAGGCGCCCUGCUGGUUGGGAACCGAGAGGCGAACGCGACGGGUUCGGCCCGUUAAAGUCGACCAGAUACGCACGUAGAUGCCGUCGUUUCCUUGCGCGAGACCCGGGUUCAAUUCCCGGCGCCUCCACUU